Molecule: transfer RNA, 67 nt
Filed under: Oncomelania hupensis hupensis
Lineage: Eukaryota; Metazoa; Mollusca; Gastropoda; Littorinimorpha; Pomatiopsidae
Also listed under: 1 other name
Description: tRNA-Asn
Source: RNAcentral
UAAAUGAAAGCCAAAUUAGAGGCACCUAGCUGUUAAUUAGGAGAGUGUAAUUAGAUUACUCAUUUAG